RNAcentral lists this ribosomal RNA (301 nucleotides) under uncultured bacterium. RNAcentral describes it as "partial 16S ribosomal RNA". It matches the Rfam family "Bacterial small subunit ribosomal RNA", at positions 509 to 807 of the family's 1533-position model. The record is from RNAcentral.
CAGUCGCCGCGGUAAUACGUAGGGUGCAAGCGUUAAUCGGAAUUACUGGGCGUAAAGCGUGCGCAGGCGGUUUGUUAAGACGGAUGUGAAAUCCCCGGGCUCAACCUGGGAACUGCAUUUGUGACUGGCAAGCUAGAGUAUGGCAGAGGGGGGUGGAAUUCCGCGUGUAGCAGUGAAAUGCGUAGAUAUGCGGAGGAACACCGAUGGCGAAGGCAGCCCCCUGGGCCAAUACUGACGCUCAUGCACGAAAGCGUGGGGAGCAAACAGGAUUAGAUACCCCCGUAGUCCCUGUCUCUUAUAC